RNAcentral lists this ribosomal RNA (468 nucleotides) under uncultured bacterium. RNAcentral describes it as "partial 16S ribosomal RNA". It matches the Rfam family "Bacterial small subunit ribosomal RNA", at positions 28 to 507 of the family's 1533-position model. The record is from RNAcentral.
GACGAACGCUGGCGGCGUGCUUAACACAUGCAAGUCGAACGGAAAGGCCCUGCUUUUGUGGGGUGCUCGAGUGGCGAACGGGUGAGUAACACGUGAGUAACCUGCCCUUGACUUUGGGAUAACUUCAGGAAACUGGGGCUAAUACCGGAUAGGAGCUCCUGCUGCAUGGUGGGGGUUGGAAAGUUUCGGCGGUUUGGGAUGGACUCGCGGCUUAUCAGCUUGUUGGUGGGGUAGUGGCUUACCAAGGCUUUGACGGGUAGCCGGCCUGAGAGGGUGACCGGCCACAUUGGGACUGAGAUACGGCCCAGACUCCUACGGGAGGCAGCAGUGGGGAAUAUUGCACAAUGGGCGGAAGCCUGAUGCAGCAACGCCGUGUGCGGGAUGACGGCCUUCGGGUUGUAAACCGCUUUCGCCUGUGACGAAGCGUGAGUGACGGUAAUGGGUAAAGAAGCACCGGCUAACUACGUG